CAGAUCCAGAAGCUUAUCUAUAACUUGUGUUUCACCUUUGCUCGGUGUACAAAACCUGUCUCGCUGGUCCCACCAGUGUACUAUGCUGACCUUGCUGCCUAUAGAGGAAGGCUGUACUAUGAUGCAAUUGUGGCAGAGGUUGGAGCUUCAGCUGCAACUUCAUCAUCAGUUGCCUCACCAUCAUCAUCAUCGGCUGGAGCUUGGCUCAAUGACAGGCUUUACCGUCUGCAUGGUGCUCUGGAGAACAUGAUGUUUUUCAUCUGAAAAGAAUCAUGGAUCCGGAUCUCCUUUUCUACUUGCUGUACUGAAGAAGAAGGUUCUACAU
Molecule: long non-coding RNA, 325 nt
Filed under: Vitis vinifera (wine grape)
Lineage: Eukaryota; Viridiplantae; Streptophyta; Magnoliopsida; Vitales; Vitaceae
Description: long non-coding RNA (VVIN_LNC003310)
Source: RNAcentral